This 253-nucleotide ribosomal RNA is filed under the name uncultured bacterium. Its description in RNAcentral is "partial 16S ribosomal RNA". It matches the Rfam family "Bacterial small subunit ribosomal RNA", at positions 524 to 776 of the family's 1533-position model. The record is from RNAcentral.
UACAGAGGUCCCAAGCGUUGUUCGGAUUCACUGGGCGUAAAGGGUGCGUAGGUGGGCAAGUAAGUCAGUGGUGAAAUCUCCGGGCUUAACCCGGAAACUGCCAUUGAUACUAUUUGUCUUGAAUACUGUGGAGGUCAGCGGAAUAUGUCAUGUAGCGGUGAAAUGCUUAGAUAUGACAUAGAACACCAAUUGCGAAGGCAGCUGGCUACACAAAUAUUGACACUGAGGCACGAAAGCGUGGGGAUCAAACAGG